UACGUAGGGGGCAAGCGUUGUCCGGAUUUAUUGGGCGUAAAGAGCGUGUAGGCGGCCAGGUAGGUCCGCUGUGAAAACCCGAGGCUCAACCUCGGGACGUCGGCGGAAACCAUUUGGCUAGAGUCCGGAAGAGGAGAGUGGAAUUCCCGGUGUAGCGGUGAAAUGCGCAGAUAUCGGGAAGAACACCCGUGGCGAAGGCGGCUCUCUGGGACGGUACUGACGCUGAGACGCGAAAGCGUGGGGAGCGAACAGG
Molecule: ribosomal RNA, 253 nt
Filed under: uncultured bacterium
Lineage: Bacteria
Description: partial 16S ribosomal RNA
Rfam family: Bacterial small subunit ribosomal RNA
Source: RNAcentral